GACGAACGCUGGCGGCGUGCUUAACACAUGCAAGUCGAACGGAAAGGCCCUGCUUUUGUGGGGUGCUCGAUUGGCGAACGGGUGAGUAACACGUGAGUAACCUGCCCUUGACUUUGGGAUAACUUCAGGAAACUGGGGCUAAUACCGGAUAGGAGCUCCUGCUGCAUGGUGGGGGUUGGAAAGUUUCGGCGGUUGGGGAUGGACUCGCGGCUUAUCAGCUUGUUGGUGGGGUAGUGGCUUACCAAGGCUUUGACGGGUAGCCUGCCUGAGAGGGUGACCGGACACAUUGGGACUGCGAUACGGACCAGACUCCUACGGGAGGCAGCAGUGGGGAAUAUUGCACAACGGGCGGAAGCGUGAUGCAGCAACGCCGCGUGCGGGAUGACGGCCUUCGGGUUGUAAACCGCUUUCGCCUGUGACGAAGCGUGAGUGACGGUAAUGGGUAAAGAAGCAACGGCUAACUACGUG
Molecule: ribosomal RNA, 468 nt
Filed under: uncultured bacterium
Lineage: Bacteria
Description: partial 16S ribosomal RNA
Rfam family: Bacterial small subunit ribosomal RNA
Source: RNAcentral